Molecule: ribosomal RNA, 2889 nt
Filed under: Vibrio cholerae HC-61A1
Lineage: Bacteria; Pseudomonadati; Pseudomonadota; Gammaproteobacteria; Vibrionales; Vibrionaceae
Description: bacterial LSU rRNA
Rfam family: Bacterial large subunit ribosomal RNA
Source: RNAcentral
UUAAGUGACUAAGCGUACACGGUGGAUGCCUGGGCAGUCAGAGGCGAUGAAGGACGUACUAACUUGCGAUAAGCGCAGAUAAGGCAGUAAGAGCCGUUUGAGUCUGCGAUUUCCGAAUGGGGAAACCCAACUGCAUAAGCAGUUACUGUUAACUGAAUACAUAGGUUAACAGAGCAAACCGGGGGAACUGAAACAUCUAAGUACCCCGAGGAGAAGAAAUCAACCGAGAUUCCGGUAGUAGCGGCGAGCGAACCUGGAUUAGCCCUUAAGCACUCGGUGAAGUAGGUGAACAAGCUGGAAAGCUUGGCGAUACAGGGUGAUAGCCCCGUAACCGACGCUUCAUCGAGCGUGAAAUCGAGUAGGGCGGGACACGUGAUAUCCUGUCUGAAUAUGGGGGGGACCAUCCUCCAAGGCUAAAUACUCCUGACUGACCGAUAGUGAACCAGUACCGUGAGGGAAAGGCGAAAAGAACCCCUGUGAGGGGAGUGAAAUAGAACCUGAAACCGUGUACGUACAAGCAGUAGGAGCACCUUCGUGGUGUGACUGCGUACCUUUUGUAUAAUGGGUCAGCGACUUAUAUUCAGUGGCAAGGUUAACCGUAUAGGGGAGCCGUAGCGAAAGCGAGUCUUAACUGGGCGCUCAGUCUCUGGAUAUAGACCCGAAACCGGGUGAUCUAGCCAUGGGCAGGUUGAAGGUUGAGUAACAUCAACUGGAGGACCGAACCGACUAAAUGUUGAAAAAUUAGCGGAUGACUUGUGGCUAGGGGUGAAAGGCCAAUCAAACUCGGAGAUAGCUGGUUCUCCCCGAAAGCCUAUUUAGGUAGCGCCUCGGACGAAUACUACUGGGGGUAGAGCACUGUUAAGGCUAGGGGGUCAUCCCGACUUACCAACCCUUUGCAAACUCCGAAUACCAGUAAGUACUAUCCGGGAGACACACGGCGGGUGCUAACGUCCGUCGUGGAGAGGGAAACAACCCAGACCGCCAGCUAAGGUCCCAAAGUAUUGCUAAGUGGGAAACGAUGUGGGAAGGCUCAGACAGCUAGGAUGUUGGCUUAGAAGCAGCCAUCAUUUAAAGAAAGCGUAAUAGCUCAACUAGUCGAGUCGGCCUGCGCGGAAGAUGUAACGGGGCUAAGCAAUACACCGAAGCUGCGGCAAUGUCUUUUAGACAUUGGGUAGGGGAGCGUUCUGUAAGCCGUUGAAGGUGAAUCGUAAGGUUUGCUGGAGGUAUCAGAAGUGCGAAUGCUGACAUGAGUAACGACAAAGGGGGUGAAAAACCUCCUCGCCGGAAGACCAAGGGUUCCUGUCCAACGUUAAUCGGGGCAGGGUGAGUCGACCCCUAAGGUGAGGCCGAAAGGCGUAAUCGAUGGGAAACGGGUUAAUAUUCCCGUACUUCUGACUAUUGCGAUGGGGGGACGGAGAAGGCUAGGUGGGCCAGGCGACGGUUGUCCUGGUUCAAGUGCGUAGGCUUGAGAGUUAGGUAAAUCCGGCUCUCUCUAAGGCUGAGACACGACGUCGAGCUACCACGGUAGUGAAGUCAUUGAUGCCAUGCUUCCAGGAAAAGCCUCUAAGCUUCAGAUAGUCAGGAAUCGUACCCCAAACCGACACAGGUGGUCGGGUAGAGAAUACCAAGGCGCUUGAGAGAACUCGGGUGAAGGAACUAGGCAAAAUGGUACCGUAACUUCGGGAGAAGGUACGCUCUUGAUGGUGAAGUCCCUCGCGGAUGGAGCUGACGAGAGUCGCAGAUACCAGGUGGCUGCAACUGUUUAUUAAAAACACAGCACUGUGCAAAAUCGCAAGAUGACGUAUACGGUGUGACGCCUGCCCGGUGCCGGAAGGUUAAUUGAUGGGGUUAGCGCAAGCGAAGCUCUUGAUCGAAGCCCCGGUAAACGGCGGCCGUAACUAUAACGGUCCUAAGGUAGCGAAAUUCCUUGUCGGGUAAGUUCCGACCUGCACGAAUGGCGUAAUGAUGGCCACGCUGUCUCCACCCGAGACUCAGUGAAAUUGAAAUCGCUGUGAAGAUGCAGUGUACCCGCGGCUAGACGGAAAGACCCCGUGAACCUUUACUACAGCUUGGCACUGAACAUUGAACCUACAUGUGUAGGAUAGGUGGGAGGCUAUGAAGACGUGACGCCAGUUGCGUUGGAGCCGUCCUUGAAAUACCACCCUUGUAUGUUUGAUGUUCUAACUUAGACCCAUUAUCUGGGUUGAGGACAGUGCCUGGUGGGUAGUUUGACUGGGGCGGUCUCCUCCCAAAGAGUAACGGAGGAGCACGAAGGUGGGCUAAUCACGGUUGGACAUCGUGAGGUUAGUGCAAUGGCAUAAGCCCGCUUAACUGCGAGAAUGACGGUUCGAGCAGGUGCGAAAGCAGGUCAUAGUGAUCCGGUGGUUCUGUAUGGAAGGGCCAUCGCUCAACGGAUAAAAGGUACUCCGGGGAUAACAGGCUGAUACCGCCCAAGAGUUCAUAUCGACGGCGGUGUUUGGCACCUCGAUGUCGGCUCAUCACAUCCUGGGGCUGAAGUCGGUCCCAAGGGUAUGGCUGUUCGCCAUUUAAAGUGGUACGCGAGCUGGGUUUAGAACGUCGUGAGACAGUUCGGUCCCUAUCUGCCGUGGGCGUUGGAAGAUUGAAGGGGGCUGCUCCUAGUACGAGAGGACCGGAGUGGACGAACCUCUGGUGUUCGGGUUGUGUCGCCAGACGCAUUGCCCGGUAGCUAAGUUCGGAAUUGAUAAGCGCUGAAAGCAUCUAAGCGCGAAGCGAGCCCUGAGAUGAGUCUUCCCUGACAGUUUAACUGUCCUAAAGGGUUGUUCGAGACUAGAACGUUGAUAGGCAGGGUGUGUAAGCGUUGUGAGGCGUUGAGCUAACCUGUACUAAUUGCCCGUGAGGCUUAACCAU